GAGGGUAUAGCUCAGUGGUAUAGAGCAUGCUUAGUAUGCAUGAGGUCCUGGGUUCAAUCCCCAGUACCUCCA
This 72-nucleotide transfer RNA is filed under the name Camelus bactrianus (Bactrian camel). It matches the Rfam family "tRNA". Rfam says of the family: Transfer RNA (tRNA) molecules are approximately 80 nucleotides in length. Their secondary structure includes four short double-helical elements and three loops (D, anti-codon, and T loops). The record is from Rfam by way of RNAcentral. RNAcentral also lists the same sequence under 3 other names. Lineage: Eukaryota; Metazoa; Chordata; Mammalia; Artiodactyla; Camelidae.